Molecule: non-coding RNA, 1717 nt
Organism: Pimephales promelas (fathead minnow)
Lineage: Eukaryota; Metazoa; Chordata; Actinopteri; Cypriniformes; Leuciscidae
Source: RefSeq, a predicted model, not a curated record
GGUCCAUCAUCAGCAGUCAUCAGGUGUGGCAGCAUUCCUGAGCAUCUGUGGAUCUCCACAAGCAGUGGUAACAUGGUAGCUAUUGCACAGAUGGUCUGAAUAUGGGCACAAACUGCAUUGAGGAAAAAGUGUGAACCCUCAGCAAGCUGCUGCCACUGAAGGCCUGGAGAGAUGCCCGGUGGCCCUCUGGUCACCUUUGCUGAGCGUCCCGUGCCGGGAUGACCUCUUGAGCCAGAGCCAAAGCACAGGCUGUCUCAGUUCUCCUCGUGAUUUCCCAUUUAUUCCCAAGGUCAAAUCCUCAUUAUGUCCCUACACUGUAAACAAUUGCCAAGAAUUAACAGGAUUAAAGAGUAUUAUUUUACAACAAGAAAAAAUUCUACAGUGAAAUUAAUGCAUGCUGGGUAAUUUUCUGUUCAUCAACAGCAGAUUGAUGCUGAUAUCACAGUAAAAUACUGCUCUUGUUUUACUGUUUAACCAAACGUGUGAUCUAGCCAAGUCAGAAGUGUGACAAAUGAAACCAUUUGUUUAAACUAUGCAAAUCUAGAAUAUAAAAUAGGUUAUUUGAAUGAUUUUAAGUUAGUCACACUUCACUUUAGCAUUAAGAUCUUAUUUCAGAUUCAUAGCUUAAGUGCAUUGAUCUGUCACAGUAGUUAAGCAACUGUCUUUGAAAGGUGUCACCUGACAGCAAAAUACUUUUUUUUCUUACAAGUUUCACCUAUGAACAUUACGUCAAUACUACAAAACACGACAAUGGUGACAAAUAAUAAUAAUAAUAAAAAAAGAAACCCUAAAGAGUACAAAAUAAACCAAUAACACAAACUGCUAAAAGUGAACCAAAAUGCAACAGAUAAAACCAACAGGAAUCAAGAAACUCCACUGCAUUAUCUAUUCAUGUCACACUGCAUUCUGGGUACCUUCAUAGUACAUAUGCACUGUAGAAAUACAAUAUGAUAUUGUUUGUUUACAGUAUUUUUUUGAGAUUGCCAUUAGAUACAAGAGAAGUCCUACAGUGAAAGUAAUGCAAUUAUUAACCUGGAAUAUACUGUAAUUUCACACAUUUUUUUUAAGUUUAAAUAGUGCUGUUACUGAAGUGUCUGUCUACACUUAAAGGAUCAUUCUAUGGGCAGAAUCCAUAGGGCAUCUUUUGGAUCCACUGAUGUAACACAUGAUGCUAAUUUGUAUGUGAAUAAGCAUUGAUGAAUAUUUAACAUGACUGUGUUUGUCAGGUUUAGCACCACCCUAUGGUUGUCAGACGAUAGACAAUUUCACAAUUGAUAUUUCUAAAAAGAAGAAUUAUCGUUUUAAAAUGUAAUAAAACAAAUCAGAAGACAAAACUAUUUUAUGUAUUACAAAAUUUUUUAUUACAUACUACAACAUUACAAAAAUGACAUGGUUUCAUAUUUACAACAUAAAAAAAAGACAUUAUUCAUUCUCUCUAGCAGACAUUGUGGCAGGGAGAACCUCUUGUAGGACACGUUUUCAAGAAAAUAAAGAUUGCUUCGUUGCACAGAUCUGUUGGUUAGUUUACAAUAAGAGAUCCAUGCAGCUUUAACAUUUCCUCACAUUUCCAGACGGUGUGUUUUUUAUGUUAGUGUGGAGGGGAUUCUUCUCCAGAGACCUCCACACAGACAGUUCUUGAUCCAGCGUUGCUCCCACUGUCUCAUGGCGUUGGUUUUAUUUGGGGAUCUCAGCAUGGUGACACAGCCACACCUAAACA